UUGAGGGUAGCUCAGUUGGCAGAGCAUGAGGCUCUUAAUCUCAGGGUUGUGUGUUCGAGUCCCACGUUGGGCAAA
RNAcentral lists this transfer RNA (75 nucleotides) under Podarcis lilfordi (Lilford's wall lizard). RNAcentral describes it as "tRNA.Lys". The stretch from base 8 to 65 matches the Rfam family "tRNA", at positions 8 to 63 of the family's 71-position model. From Rfam's summary of the family: Transfer RNA (tRNA) molecules are approximately 80 nucleotides in length. The record is from RNAcentral. Lineage: Eukaryota; Metazoa; Chordata; Lepidosauria; Squamata; Lacertidae.